Felis catus (domestic cat) is the source of this 1339-nucleotide long non-coding RNA. RefSeq lists it as uncharacterized. NCBI's taxonomy places the organism in Eukaryota, Metazoa, Chordata, Mammalia, Carnivora, Felidae. The record is from RefSeq and is a predicted model, not a curated record. The transcript has 3 exons.
CUGUCUAUCUAAAUAAGUAAAUAAACUUUAAAAAGAAAAAGACUCUAAAUCUUAUUUAAACCUUCUGAUUUAGCUGGCUUCUUCUGAUAGCACUCCAGCAAGGAAGAGGUGCAGUUGGGAAUGCUACCUCAUUAUUCUCAGGUGGGGGUAGGAGUUCUCUAUUUACAGCUCUGUGGCUCUCCUUGUUAUUGCUAGGCAGGGGUAUGUGUUCUGGCUUCCUGCUAGACCUCCACUGAAAUCUCCAUGGCUGGGGUGAGGAGCAGUGCCCUAUUACUGCUCUCCAUGUGACUUCUGUUGACACCAAGGUGGGGUGGAGAAAGUGACCUUGUAGCCAUUGUCCCUGUGCAAUGGUGAAGUUCUUGUAUUUCCACUAGGUCUCCCAUGACACCACCGUAACGGAAAUGGGAAAAACAUCACAUUACUGCGGGAUGGAAGUCCAGGCUCCCCACAUGAUUCAUACGGUCAUUGUGGAGCACGUCAUUUCCUAAUGUGAAGAAACUGAGGCGGAAGUAAUUAAGUGACUUGACCAAGUUCACACAUUAAAAUUUCUUGAAAAGGCCGAGGUCAAGACCAGGCUCUGAUGAAGUCGAUGACUCUCACAGCAGUAAACAAGACUCCUUUGAGAAUUGCUGGCACAUAUCAAUUCCUGUUGAUGCUGAGGGCAAUGAGUCAUGACGACGCAUGGUGCACCUUCGGCAGAGCCGCCUGGCCAGGUAUGUUACUGAGUCCAGAGAACCAAACGCUCUGUCCUUGGAGACAAAGUUUUCCUUGACAAAGACAUUUUUUCACCAUUUGGCAAAAGAUGGUGGCUUUUCAAGUUGCCAAAAGGGGAUCCGAAAAAUUGGAAUACUUCUUGAGUGGUACCGGUGUGCAAAUAAAGAAUGACAGAGCUGGUUGAAAGGAGAGGCGUCAGCAGUUUCAUCCAGUUGUUUGCCUAUUGAAGGAAAGCAGUUGAGGAGCCGGUUUACGGACUUGUUUCCAGAUAUUAGAAGAAACAUCAGUGAUUCUAAAGGGGAUCCUGCCUUUUGAAAUUGGCAUGUCUUCAGUUUUCGUCCUUUGCCCCAAGCAAUAAACCAUUUCAAAUAUUUCCAGGGUACAUGGCCUCAUUCAGUUUUCUACAAUUUUGUGUGUUUUUGCUUGGGAUAAAAAACCAGGGAUGUUUUAAGGUUGCCCCAAGACAUGAUGUGCAAGUCCAAUUUUGUUAAAGUUUUGGCCCUUUAAAAUGAAGCAUUUUCUUAUGAAACAAUUUAUCCAAGUCCAAGCAUUUUCCUUUAAAAAUUACUUUAAUUUAAUUUUAUUUAUUUAUUUUUUAACGUUUAUUUUAGAGACAGAGAUACAC